RNAcentral lists this ribosomal RNA (427 nucleotides) under uncultured bacterium. RNAcentral's name for it is "partial 16S ribosomal RNA". It matches the Rfam family "Bacterial small subunit ribosomal RNA", at positions 355 to 774 of the family's 1533-position model. The record is from RNAcentral.
UGGGGAAUAUUGGACAAUGGGCGAAAGCCUGAUCCAGCCAUGCCGCGUGUGUGAAGAAGGUCUUCGGAUUGUAAAGCACUUUAAGUUGGGAGGAAGGGCAUUAACCUAAUACGUUAGUGUUUUGACGUUACCGACAGAAUAAGCACCGGCUAACUCUGUGCCAGCAGCCGCGGUAAUACAGAGGGUGCAAGCGUUAAUCGGAAUUACUGGGCGUAAAGCGCGCGUAGGUGGUUUGUUAAGUUGGAUGUGAAAUCCCCGGGCUCAACCUGGGAACUGCAUUCAAAACUGACUGGCUAGAGUAUGGUAGAGGGUGGUGGAAUUUCCUGUGUAGCGGUGAAAUGCGUAGAUAUAGGAAGGAACACCAGUGGCGAAGGCGACCACCUGGACUAAUACUGACACUGAGGUGCGAAAGCGUGGGGAGCAAACA